RNAcentral lists this long non-coding RNA (304 nucleotides) under Capsella rubella. Its description in RNAcentral is "long non-coding RNA (CRUB_LNC001356)". The record is from RNAcentral. Lineage: Eukaryota; Viridiplantae; Streptophyta; Magnoliopsida; Brassicales; Brassicaceae.
CGGCCCAUAAAAAGUCUUGGGAUCCAGUAGGCGAAGAACAUAUAAGGAAUUGUAUAACUCAGACCAAAUUUGAGAUUUCAGAUGAAUGUCAUAUAUUAUAAAAACCCAUUCCCUUAAGCUCAUUGAUUUUUUUUUUUUUUUUUUAAUUACAUAUAGGAUAUCUCAAAUUCAUUUAAAUAAUUUCUUUAUUUGACUAUGUUGAUAUUGCAACCUUUUCAAAAAACCUUUAAAAGGAUUGGGUAAUAACUCCAAUCCAAUAUCUGGAUAAUCCGUAUCACAUUUGUCUCUAAAAACAUUGUUUAUC